AACGAACGCUGGCGGCAGGCCUAACACAUGCAAGUCGAACGCUCCGCAAGGGGAGUGGCGCACGGGUGAGUAACACGUGGGAACCUACCUUCUGGUACGGAACAACCAAGGGAAACUUUGGCUAAGACCGUAUACGACCUCCGGGUGAAAGAUUGAUCGCCGGAAGAGGGGCCCGCGUCCGAUUAGGUAGUUGGUGAGGUAACGGCUCACCAAGCCUUCGAUCGGUAGCUGGUCUGAGAGGAUGACCAACCACACUGGGACUGAGACACGGCCCAGACUCCUACGGGAGGCAGCAGUGGGGAAUAUUGGACAAUGGGCGCAAGCCUGAUCCAGCCAUGCCGCGUGAGU
RNAcentral lists this ribosomal RNA (348 nucleotides) under uncultured bacterium. RNAcentral's name for it is "bacterial SSU rRNA". It matches the Rfam family "Bacterial small subunit ribosomal RNA", at positions 29 to 406 of the family's 1533-position model. The record is from RNAcentral.